UACAGAGGGGGCAAGCGUUGUUCGGAAUUACUGGGCGUAAAGCGCACGUAGGCGGAUUGUUAAGUCGGGGGUGAAAUCCUGGAGCUCAACUCCAGAACUGCCUUCGAUACUGGCGAUCUCGAGUUCGGGAGAGGUGAGUGGAACUGCGAGUGUAGAGGUGAAAUUCGUAGAUAUUCGCAAGAACACCAGUGGCGAAGGCGGCUCACUGGCCCGAUACUGACGCUGAGGUGCGAAAGCGUGGGGAGCAAACAGG
Molecule: ribosomal RNA, 253 nt
Filed under: uncultured bacterium
Lineage: Bacteria
Description: partial 16S ribosomal RNA
Rfam family: Bacterial small subunit ribosomal RNA
Source: RNAcentral